Ostrinia nubilalis (European corn borer) is the source of this 1182-nucleotide long non-coding RNA. RefSeq lists it as uncharacterized. NCBI's taxonomy places the organism in Eukaryota, Metazoa, Arthropoda, Insecta, Lepidoptera, Crambidae. The record is from RefSeq and is a predicted model, not a curated record. The transcript has 2 exons.
ACUCUGGGUGGUAAAUAAAAAAAUAUGAAAAUCAAUACACAAUGAACUUUAUGUAGAAAUAAACAUAGUUAUACUGAUUUUAUGUCGUAAAUAUACAUGAUUUAUUUAUUAUGUUAAAAUUAAAAAUUGAUAUUUUUAAUCUGUAUAUCACGUGACUAAAAACACGAGCCGCCAUGCUGUGACGUCAUAUUGGCAAUAAUCAUUCGCUGUCAUCUGUCAACAACUUUUUUAUUUCUAUUCGCAUUCUAUUCGUCAAAAUUAUUCAGUUGAUAUUUAUUUAAAUCAUACGAAAUAAGUUAAAUACUACUAAAAACACGAAAUGGAAGCCGGUUUCGUAAAAGCAGAUAGUACGAACUUACCAAAAAUCGACACGAUGAUGGUUGCAAAGUUCUUUGCAUGUAAUCCAGAUUUCUGUUCUGCCUAAUUCCGGAAUAUAAAAACAUCUUUAUCUGCAAGAGAAUCGUAUGGCGACGAUGCUAUCGGAUACGUGCAACUACAAAGGACCCAAGCUUUAUGUACUAUAAAGUGUACAAUAUGUCCGGAACAUAAAGUUCGUUCCAAACCAUAUUCUGCAACUCUCAUUGUAGAUGGGCAAGAAGAUGAUGUGCUACAGGUGACAUGCCAUGAUUGUCCUGCGUCUGCCGGUGGAUGUAAACAUGCAGUAGCGUUUUUAAUGUGGUGUCAUCGUAGAAGUGAAGAGCCAUCAUGCACUUCAGUCCAAUGUUAUUGGAAAAAAUCGACACUAUCAAAGGUCGGAUCUUCAAUAAAAAUUAUGACAACGAAAGAAAUGACAAAAAAGAAGCUAAAAAGUGCUGUGGGUUUAGACAAAGUGCAAAUUAUAAUCGCAAACCAGUUGGAAAGUGGUCGAAAAGCCCCUUUUUUGUAUGGAGUUUUGACGGAUUCGAUUCGAUCAAAAAGUGCGUUUUGUCUAGGGGGGUUGAAACUAAUAUAGGUGACAGUGUAGUUGAAGAUUUUUUAAUUAAAUCUAAAAAAAGAAAACUUACUUCUUGUCAAUAUUUAAAGCAUGAAAAUGACAAUAAAGUGAAUAUUAUAGAGAUUGCAUAUGAUCAAAUAUAUGUGUCAGAACUGCUCCACAGUGUUAUUUCAUUUUGGAAAAGAAAUAUUUUUCCCAUUUUAUAUGAAACUGUACAAAUAUAAUAAAAAAAGUACUUUAAAUAAUAA